UGCGCAGCCACAUCCCCAUAGGUUCUGUACCGGAAACAGAAAUGAUUAGUUCACCUCUGGAGUCUUUGGUUCGAGUCGUUCGUUCAUCACUUCACAGCCCCACUGCAUUCAGAAUAUGGGACAGUCACGUGAUGAACGAAUGCCUCGAGCCUGAAGACUUGAGACGUGAACUGAUCAAAUGUGACGUGACAAAAGAAGAACGACUCGGAUCGGGAAGUGAACUAACAGACUGCUAAUGCUAAGCAAUUAAUCAAUCAUUUCUGUUUCUCAUAAGUUGCAUUAGCCUAUAGUUUAUUUUUUAUUCCAAAUGUGAUCAAUGUUUGCGUAAGUACUAGAGGUGUUGGGGAAUUUAACAUGUAACAUUUUAACUUUAUUCUGCUGAAAUGAACGAAAUGAUGCAAAAAAAGAUUCGUUCAUUUUGCUGAACGAGAUUCAAAGAUCCGAGUCAGUAAAAUGAUCCGAACUUUCUUGUGUUAAUAUUUGUGAUGAUGCUCGCACUUUGAUCUUAAGCAGUUUGUUUAAGUAUGCAGGUCUUUGAACGUAUUUUUUUAAAUAUGUAUAAUAACCUUUCAUUUUCUGAUGCUCCUGCUUCCACUGUAAUGCUCCCUCAUUAGCUUUGCUUACAGUAUCAAUAUGUAUAUGAACCGCUGGCCAUGAAAUUUCUCAAGAGUUUUGGUGAGAAUCUAUUACUCUGGUCCUGAUCUUGCUUGUGUACACUGUUUAUUACAUUUUUGAAUGACUUUUCUUUUCUUCAUAGAAUUACUUUAGGCACUGAUAGAACUGUCUUUUUUGUCAUAUCCAAUAUGAAAAAAUGAUUAAACUUGCAUUUUUUUUGUUCUUUUACCUAAAGUAACCUGUAACUUUAUGGACUUGGCUACAUUGUACAGCAGUGCUGUAGUACUUUGGAAUGGAACCUUAUGACCUUUGACCUGCACUGUGAAAAUUCAAAUGAGUGUUUUUUUUUUUGUUGCAGUGUUUAACAUGUUUCUGUGUCAUGUUUGUUUGAUGUUCUGUAAUGACUGAAGAUCAGCGCAGAAUUCACCAGACUUGUGUCGAUGGACCUGAGCAAGUCCUUUUAUGAGGGUCUUGACAAACACGCCUCAAAGCUGCUGUAUUUGUACCGCUCGAGGCGCCAUGCAGACAUCGCAGAAAGGAGUGCCAUACUGGAGAGCCUGGAUUAAAAUGUGAGUAGGUUUAUUUCAAGUGUACUUGUUUUGUAAAUACUGUGGUCAUUUCCUUUCUUGCUAUUUCUCUUGUCCUGCAUAAUUUGAAUAUAAAACAUUUGUACUUUUGAGGCAUCAAAUCACAGGAAGAGGGUUGCAGUACUGCUGGGGCUGCCACUGUCCAUGCGGGAGAAUCCAUCUCAGUUCUUACAGAUCUGUGAGCACACAGAUUCUGAAGAAGAGUUAAUCAAGGGCGUGACUGUUGGAAUCAGUACAGUUGUGGAUGACAUGAUGGACCCUAUUCCGUGUGACUGUGGUGAUGUAGCCCUUGUAAUGGAAGAAGUUGUCGUUCUACGCAAUCUUGGUGAUGUACCAAAUGCAUUUGUCAACUUGAUGGGAUUGCUUUAUGCACGUAACAUAAUCUACCCCACAAACUUCAAAUACACCUUUGAGGUGAUUCAGAGGCUGUUCAUGAACAUCGGAGCUGAUGCCUGCAGUGCACGAGUACAUUCACUUAAAAAUAAUCUGCUCAAGUAGAGAUGGUGUUAUGCAUUUCUUGCAAGAGAGAUUUCAUGUGGUGUUGUGUUGUGUAUGUUACAGUUUCUAUACCUAAACAGCAUGACUUCAGUUUUGUUGUAUAUUUUCACCUUUAAACACCGGGCAAUUGAAAUGUAAUGUUGUUAGGCAAAAACAGAUUUCUGCUUGCUUUUUCUGUUUAUUUUGAGAAAUUCAUGUAAUUUCAAGACACAUGCAGCUUUUAUGUCAGAGUUUGCUGACUUCCUGUCAGUGUUGAGAAUGAAGUUUGACAGAAUUCUAAUUGUGGGAGAUUUUAACAUCCAUGUGGAUGUGGAGUGACUCUGUGGCGGUUAAGGAAUUCCUGUCGCUACUUGAUUGUUUUAGCUUCACACAGUUUGUAACUGACCCGAUUCAUAACAAGGGCCAUACGCUGGAUCUCGUGAUUGCAAACGGCUCGUUUGUAUCGCAGUUUUCAUCUGUUGACAUUGGACUGUCUGAUCAUUCAGCUGUCUUUUUAAUCUGGAACUGUAUCAUCCAUGUGAGCCUACCGUCUGAACAGUAACCUUCCGGAAGUGGAAGUCUAUUGAUCGGACCGUUUUCUCCAAUUCGGUUGUUUCCACUUUAAGCGAUCUUCAUCCCUCACCGCUGGAGGAGAAAGUCCUGCAGUUAAAUUCUGCUCUUGCUGCUAAUCUUGACUCUUUUGCUCCUCUAAGGUCACGUAAGGUCACAUUCUCCCGCUCUGCUCCCUGGUAUAAUGACAAUCUGCGCUCUAGAAAGGCUGCUUGUCGGAAAAUGGAGCGCAAACGGCACCUUACUGGACCGAAUGUGUACUAUCAAGCGUGGAAGGAUCUUCUGGGUGAUUAUCGAGCACUAACGGAGACUGAAAGAUCCUCUUACUUCUCUCAGACUAUUGUAAAAAAUCAAAAUAAUCCCAGACACUUGUUCCAAACCAUAAACAGAUUGCUUCAAGUUAAUGCUGUUACUACCUUGCCUGUUUCUCAGCAGCUCUGUGAUUCUUUUCUUCAGUUUUUUCAUUCUAAGAGUGAUAAUGUUACUAAUCUGCUUUAUUAAUCCCUUACACCCCAAAUCGCAGACUGCGCUCCUCACAGUGUAAUCUGUUAACUGUUCCACAACUCGCCUAAAAUCUACAGGUGACGGGACUUCUUCUGUCUACGCUCCUUCCCUUUGGAACUCUCUUCCUCCUGAACUCAGGAAAGCUCAGACCUUUGACAUUUUUAAAGCGCUACUUAAGACAUUUUUUUUAAACUUGCAUUUGACUGCUGUCUUUUUAUUUAUUUAUUUAUUUUUAUUAUUAUUAUUUUAUAAUUAUUAUUAUUAAUGUUCGUAUUAACUUGAGAUUUAUUUUUUGUACUGCUUAUUUUGUGUACAGCGCUUUGAGAAGCUGCUUUUAAAGGCGCUUUAUAAAAUAAAGAUUAUUAUUAUUAUUA
This is a long non-coding RNA of Ictalurus punctatus (channel catfish), 3127 nucleotides long. RefSeq lists it as uncharacterized. The record is from RefSeq and is a predicted model, not a curated record. The transcript is spliced from 2 exons. NCBI's taxonomy places the organism in Eukaryota, Metazoa, Chordata, Actinopteri, Siluriformes, Ictaluridae.